Molecule: ribosomal RNA, 1344 nt
Filed under: Triticum aestivum (bread wheat)
Lineage: Eukaryota; Viridiplantae; Streptophyta; Magnoliopsida; Poales; Poaceae
Description: partial small subunit ribosomal RNA
Source: RNAcentral
AUGAUAGCCAAAGAGGAGAAAGAGCUGGUGCCGCAGCUGCGGUUCCCGGCGGGAUACCACUUCCGGCCAACCGACGAGGAGCUCCUCGACGUCUACCUCCGCGCCAAGAUCGACGGACGGGAGCCGCCGCUGGACGUGUUCAUGGACGUGGACAUCCUCGACUGGGACCCCGCCGAGCUCGUCGAGAAGCGCAAGGCCUACGGGGAGGGCAGAUACUUCUUCACGAAAAGAACUGAGUGUCCGGCGAACAAGAACGGCGAGCCGCGCCGGAAGCUGUACAAGGUGAAGGCGAGCUGGAAGGCCACGGGGUGCCCAGGGAUCAUCUACCGCAGUGCGACGGGCGAGAAAAUCGGGACAAAAAGGAUCCUCACCUACUAUUCCGGCGGCGUCGAGUGUGAUAAGUGGAGCAUGAACGAGUACGUCAUGACAGGCAGGGCAGGGCUGGAUCAGUGGAUCUUGUGCACAAUACAGGAGAAGUUACACUGGGAGGCCAAAAGCAGCAAACACGCAGCAGGCAAGAUGGCAGAAGACACUAGUAGCAAAGGCAAGACAGUGGCAACAGGCGCUAGAAAGGUGCCCAAGACCAAAAGACAGAAGAAGGAGAAGAUGGACCCCUCCCAGCCACAUAAAACUCAGGAACAACUGCAGCAACCACAGCAAAAACAAGAGACCACACCUGACGUAUUCUCCGAACCGCCAACAAUGUUUACAAGUGAUCACCAUGCUUUGCAUGAAGAAGAGAUCAUGGAGCAGGACUUCACAACCAAGAUGAUCCAAGUCGUUGUCCAGCAAGAACACCCAUAUGGAGAUCAGCAUUACCUUGACGCCCCAGCGCCACAAGAGACAACAUACGAAGGACCCGGCGAGCCACCGUUGAAGCCGCACCACCAGCAUGGUUACCAUGCUUGGCUGGAAGAGCAACAACAUCAGGAGCUUGAGGAUCCGUUCUCCGUUCAACAUCAGUUUGACCCAUUCAACACCAUGAUAUUUCAGGGCCACACAGGUCAAGAACCAACACCUGGGUGGUGGCAGCAGCACCAGCCAAGCUACAUAGAUAAUUAUCAUCAGUUUUUCCUGCCAGCCAAUGGCAUGGAGCAUGCCAGCGGGUGUCAGCUUCCGCACCAACAGACUCUUUAUCCGCUUGGAACACCAGGAUCCCAUGGGGACUUCAAACCAACUUCACAACAUGAACUGCAAUUCCCAUUGGACCCCGCAAAACCCAACGAGCAGCAAACAAGUCCCGAUUCUGUGCUCGGCGUGUGUCAACAUUGUCAGCUGACUAGUGCGGAUAAGGUCGCGUGCUCCCUAUGUUGUUGUGGUGGAUUUAAUUCGGAGAUGAAGUAA